This 395-nucleotide ribosomal RNA is filed under the name uncultured Sphingobacteriales bacterium. RNAcentral's name for it is "bacterial SSU rRNA". It matches the Rfam family "Bacterial small subunit ribosomal RNA", at positions 986 to 1382 of the family's 1533-position model. The record is from RNAcentral. Lineage: Bacteria; Pseudomonadati; Bacteroidota; Sphingobacteriia; Sphingobacteriales.
UGUAGAGUGCAUUUUUUAGUAGAUAGAAAUUCCCUUCGGGGCUUUCUGCAAGGUGCUGCAUGGUUGUCGUCAGCUCGUGCCGUGAGGUGUCGGGUUAAGUCCCAUAACGAGCGCAACCCUUAUCGUUAGUUGCCAUCUGGUAAUGCAGGGGACUCUAGCGAAACUGCCACCGUAAGGUGAGAGGAAGUGGGAUGACGUCAAAUCAGCACGGCCCUUAUGUCCAGGGCUACACACGUGUUACAAUGGUCGGUACAGAGGGCAGCUACCUGGUGACAGGAUGCUAAUCUCGAAAACCGGUCUCAGUUCGGAUCGAAGUCUGCAACUCGACUUCGUGAAGCUGGAUUCGCUAGUAAUCGCGCAUCAGCCAUGGCGCGGUGAAUACGUUCCCGGGCCUU